This 320-nucleotide long non-coding RNA is filed under the name Heterocephalus glaber (naked mole-rat). RNAcentral's name for it is "lncRNA (ENSHGLG00100043458.1)". The record is from RNAcentral. Lineage: Eukaryota; Metazoa; Chordata; Mammalia; Rodentia; Bathyergidae.
CCCUGCUCUGGUCAGAGGCGCGGCUGCGGCGCCGCCUGGAGUUGCAGUCCCGCGUGGCUGAGGGGCCGGGCCGCGGGGCCGCCGGGGAGUUACACCAGUGCGUGGCUGAGGCACGGAAGACAGAGAUGAUUCCGGGGUGGCUCCUUUGAACCGCUGCCUACUGGGCUUCAGCAGAGAGAAAGUAAUACCUCGGUUCAGGACCGCUUUUGUUUGCACACAGUUCGGUUGGCAAACAAAAGCGUUGGGCACAAUUUUGCUUCCCUAAGCAAACUGCACAUCACGUGGCAAACAAUACCAAAGCCGUCUUCUCCACAUGAACA